GAGGGAAUAGCUCAGUGGUAGAGCACAUGCUUAACAUGCACAAGGUCCUAGGUUCAAUCCCCAGUACCUCCU
RNAcentral lists this transfer RNA (72 nucleotides) under Camelus bactrianus (Bactrian camel). It matches the Rfam family "tRNA". From Rfam's summary of the family: Transfer RNA (tRNA) molecules are approximately 80 nucleotides in length. Their secondary structure includes four short double-helical elements and three loops (D, anti-codon, and T loops). Further hydrogen bonds mediate the characteristic L-shaped molecular structure. tRNAs have two regions of fundamental functional importance: the anti-codon, which is responsible for specific mRNA codon recognition, and the 3' end, to which the tRNAs corresponding amino acid is attached (by aminoacyl-tRNA synthetases). tRNAs cope with the degeneracy of the genetic code in two manners: having more than one tRNA (with a specific anti-codon) for a particular amino acid; and 'wobble' base-pairing, i.e. permitting non-standard base-pairing at the 3rd anti-codon position. RNAcentral also lists the same sequence under 2 other names. The record is from Rfam by way of RNAcentral. Lineage: Eukaryota; Metazoa; Chordata; Mammalia; Artiodactyla; Camelidae.